UACGGGGGGGGCAAGCGUUGUUCGGAAUUACUGGGCGUAAAGGGCUCGUAGGCGGCCAACUAAGUCAGACGUGAAAUCCCUCGGCUUAACCGGGGAACUGCGUCUGAUACUGGAUGGCUUGAGAUUGGGAGAGGGAUGCGGAAUCCCAGGUGUAGCGGUGAAAUGCGUAGAUAUCUGGAGGAACACCGGUGGCGAAGGCGGCCUGCUGGGCAGUGGCUGACACUGAGGCGCGACAGCGUGGGGAGCAAACAGG
Molecule: ribosomal RNA, 253 nt
Filed under: uncultured bacterium
Lineage: Bacteria
Description: partial 16S ribosomal RNA
Rfam family: Bacterial small subunit ribosomal RNA
Source: RNAcentral